UGGGGAAUAUUGGACAAUGGGCGAAAGCCUGAUCCAGCCAUGCCGCGUGUGUGAAGAAGGUCUUCGGUUUGUAAAGCACUUUAAGUUGGGAGGAAGGGCAUUAACCUAAUACGUUAGUGUUUUGACGUUACCGACAGAAUAAGCACCGGCUAACUCUGUGCCAGCAGCCGCGGUAAUACAGAGGGUGCAAGCGUUAAUCGGAAUUACUGGGCGUAAAGCGCGCGUAGGUGGUUUGUUAAGUUGGAUGUGAAAUCCCCGGGCUCAACCUGGGAACUGCAUUCAAAACUGACUGACUAGAGUAUGGUAGAGGGUGGUGGAAUUUCCUGUGUAGCGGUGAAAUGCGUAGAUAUAGGAAGGAACACCAGUGGCGAAGGCGACCACCUGGACUAAUACUGACACUGAGGUGCGAAAGCGUGGGGAGCAAACA
This 427-nucleotide ribosomal RNA is filed under the name uncultured bacterium. Its description in RNAcentral is "partial 16S ribosomal RNA". It matches the Rfam family "Bacterial small subunit ribosomal RNA", at positions 355 to 774 of the family's 1533-position model. The record is from RNAcentral.